Molecule: long non-coding RNA, 401 nt
Filed under: Erythranthe guttata (spotted monkey flower)
Lineage: Eukaryota; Viridiplantae; Streptophyta; Magnoliopsida; Lamiales; Phrymaceae
Description: long non-coding RNA (EGUT_LNC001820)
Source: RNAcentral
UCCGUCGUAACUAGUCUUUUCUCAGUUCGCACAGUCGCUGCCGCGAGCUUCUAUUUCCCCUGCUCGUGCCGCCGUGCUAGGGCUUUGACGUCGCUGCUCGCACUGUCGCGAACAUCCCCGGAGGAAGUGGCGGAAUAGAGAAAGAUUGGGGGAAGAGAAGAUGAGGCUCUCAUGGCGUACGGUUUUCGGAGGAUUAACAGAGGAAUGUGACUAAAUUGAAUAGCAGGGUUCACUCGAGGAUCAAUUGGGAUGGUGGUUAUCGUGUUCUUGAUGAUUGAAUUCGUGUUCUGGUUUCGAAGAAGCUGAUUGUUUGAGUAGUGAAGAAGAAUGACGAAUGACAAAUGGAAGAUUGGGGAAGUUCUUGUGGAGCGGUAGUAGUAAAAGUAAUGAUUUUAAUUUGC